UACAGAGGUGGCAAGCGUUGUUCGGAAUUACUGGGCGUAAAGGGCGCGUAGGCGGCCCGUCAAGUCCCGUGUGAAAGCCCCCGGCUCAACCGGGGAACGGCGCGGGAAACUAGCAGGCUUGAGUUCGGGAGAGGGAAGUGGAAUUCCUGGUGUAGCGGUGGAAUGCGCAGAUAUCAGGAGGAACACCAAUAGCGAAGGCAGCUCGCUGGGACGGUACUGACGCUAAGGCGCGAAAGCGUGGGGAGCAAACAGG
RNAcentral lists this ribosomal RNA (253 nucleotides) under uncultured bacterium. Its description in RNAcentral is "partial 16S ribosomal RNA". It matches the Rfam family "Bacterial small subunit ribosomal RNA", at positions 524 to 776 of the family's 1533-position model. The record is from RNAcentral.